RNAcentral lists this non-coding RNA (466 nucleotides) under Gossypium arboreum. Its description in RNAcentral is "Eukaryotic small subunit ribosomal RNA". It matches the Rfam family "Eukaryotic small subunit ribosomal RNA", at positions 745 to 1213 of the family's 1831-position model. Lineage: Eukaryota; Viridiplantae; Streptophyta; Magnoliopsida; Malvales; Malvaceae. The record is from Rfam by way of RNAcentral.
GGCGCUGUUACUUUGAAGAAAUUAGAGUGCUCAAAGCAGGCCUACGCUUGUAUACAUUAGCAUCGGAUAACAUCAUAGGAUUUCGAUCCUAUUGUGGUUGCCUUCGGGAUCGGAGUAAUAAUUAACAGGCACAGUCGGGGGCAUUCGUAUUUCAUAGUCAGAAGUGAAAUUCUUGGAUUUAUGAAAGACGAACAACUGCAAAAGCAUUUGCCAAGGAUGUUUUCAUUAAUCAAGAACGAAAGUUGGGGGCUCGAAGACGAUCAGAUACCGUCCUAGUCUCAACCAUAAACGAUGCCGACCAGGGGUCGACGGAUGUUAUUUUUAUGACUCCCCCAGCACCUUAUGAGAAAUCAUAGUCUUUGGGCUCCGGGGGGAGUAUGGUCGUAACGUUGAAACUUAAAGGAAUUGACGGAAGGGCACCACCAGGAGUGGAGCCUGCGGCUUAAUUUGUCUCAACACGGGGAAA